This is an RNA transcript of Lycium barbarum (goji berry), 2056 nucleotides long. It is a transcript of the gene named protein TPX2, with no coding region annotated. Lineage: Eukaryota; Viridiplantae; Streptophyta; Magnoliopsida; Solanales; Solanaceae. The record is from RefSeq and is a predicted model, not a curated record. The transcript is spliced from 18 exons.
AAUUCGGAUCCUUCUGAACAUUAUCAGACUCGCCGCUACCCUUACACUGGUAAAUAGUAGUCUUUUUUCUCUGUCUUUUUCUGUUUUCUCAUCCCAAAUCUCCAUAUAAUAUUGUUCCGUCCCUCUCUUCUAAUUCUUCACGUUUUUCAAUGCACUGACUAGAAGACCUAGGUCUAUUUUUCUUCUUCUCCAUUAUCAUCGAUUCCAGUGAUCACAAUCGCUGUCGCUGAGUGUGUGUGUGUUUGAAAAUGGAGGAAGAUAUGGAGGAUAUGGUUGAGUAUACGUUUACGGCUGUUGAGAUUGAUCUCGAUUAUGAGUUUGAUGCGCCUCGUUACUUUGAUUUUUGCUGUGAGGAGACAUUGUUUGUGAGGAGUCAAGCUGAGUGUUGGUUUGAAACUGCUGGAAGCUAUCCUCCUUCUCCUUUUGUCACUAGGUUGAUUUCGAAGGAGGACGUUUUGCUGGAAAGCAUUAAUGUUUCUCCGAAAUCCAAAGUUGAGAACAUGAGUUUGUCAGAUAGCGAUUCUGAUAUUGAGAUCGAGCAAGAGGUUCCUGCUCUGAUAAAAGAAGGCGAGAGCAACAAUGCAGGAAUUUCCGCUAUUAGCAAUGCCGAGAAACUUUUAAAUCAACUGAGACAGCUACCUUCAGGGCUGACUUUCUACAAUCACAUGGCUAAAGGUGCCACAAAAGGUAAAACCAGGUGCUCUUCGAAGCCAUCUUGUCCCAGGAGUUCAACCCUCAUGAAACCAACUGCAAGUCACUUAGCCAAACAAAAUCUAUCUCGUCCAAUUGGUGAAUCAAGGUUACCGACAUUUUUGGUUGAGAAAAAUGGAACAAAUUCAACUGUAAUCGAGACUCAAGCUGCCAAGAGACAAAAGCUUGAGAGUGGUCAUCUACGGAAGGUAUCAUUUGUUGCCGAAGCGAAGCCUGUAUUUAGUUUUGUUCACAAGGAACCUAAGCGAGACGGAAAAGUUGAUGGCAGCAACACUACGGCUAAGCCCAGGAUUACUAUUCCUAGAGAGCCUGAGUUUCAAACUACUCAUAGAGCACAAAGAGCAAGGCCAAAAGUUAGUGAACAAGCAGAAAAUUUUCCACCGACAGCUAUCCGUAGAUUCAAAGCUCUUCCACUAAAUAGAAAGAUUUUUGAAGGUCCUCCUUUGCCUCCAAAAAAAAGCAAUCCACAGAUUCCGCAGUUUCAAGAAUUUCACCUGAAGACGUCAGAGAGAGCCGUGCAACAUCGUUCAGCAGUUCCAACUUCUGCUGCUAAUUCUUCUACCACUGAUAAGGUGUUGCAGAAAACCAGUACUAAGUCAACCAUGGAAUGUGGAAAUAGAGAAUUCAGAAGAGUCAAUCAUGUAGAGGCUCCAAAGCAAGAAGAAUCUGUGUCAACCUACAACUUCAAAGCUCUCCCCCUCAAUAAAAAGAUCCUAUCAAGUAAAGGAGACAUUGGAGUGUUCCGAAACACCAAAAGGGAAACCACAGUGCCAAUGGAGUUCAAUUUUCAUACUGUAAAGAGAAUUCAUCAAAAUCCGCCAAUUGAUCUGUUUAAUAAGCUCUCUCUUACAUCUGAGCCCCAACCAGGUGGCGAAGUGCAGUUGAAAGCACAAAGACCAUCCUGCCUUCGGUCAAAGGGCUCCAAAGAAAAUAGAUGGGCUUAUUUCCAACAAAACCAUGAGAUAGUACACACGGAGAAGGGAAAACUAGCUGAUCUCAAAAGCAAAGCCAAUUCAGUUCGGUAGUGAUAUGGGAUAACUGAAGUUUGUCAAGUAUCUAACACCAUCAACAGGUACAAGGAGUUUGGGCAUUUUUAGGGACAAAAUGCAACACAUUUUUUGAUGUCGAUGAACACCUUUUUGCUUGAUUCGAAAGGCAGACUGAGACGAUGCAGCGAUGCCAGUACAUAACAAUUGUCUGAAACUGUCAAGUGCGUUCGGAUAUAUAGCAGCUUUAUAACUUAUAUGUAAAAAUCAAUUUCUUCACAUGUAAACCGUCAGAUACAAACAACAAUGUUAAUCACCAUGUUAUCAUGUGAAUAAAAAAAUGAGCAAGUGUUGUUUAG